CGCAGGGUAGAGCAGAUGGCAGCUCGUCGGGCUCAUAACCCGGAGGUCACAGGUUCGAGUCCUGUCCCUGCUA
RNAcentral lists this transfer RNA (73 nucleotides) under Spirochaetaceae bacterium. RNAcentral describes it as "tRNA-Met". It matches the Rfam family "tRNA". From Rfam's summary of the family: Transfer RNA (tRNA) molecules are approximately 80 nucleotides in length. Lineage: Bacteria; Pseudomonadati; Spirochaetota; Spirochaetia; Spirochaetales; Spirochaetaceae. The record is from RNAcentral.